This 253-nucleotide ribosomal RNA is filed under the name uncultured bacterium. Its description in RNAcentral is "partial 16S ribosomal RNA". It matches the Rfam family "Bacterial small subunit ribosomal RNA", at positions 524 to 776 of the family's 1533-position model. The record is from RNAcentral.
UACGGGGGGGGCAAGCGUUGUUCGGAAUUACUGGGCGUAAAGGGCUCGUAGGCGGCCAACUAAGUCAGACGUGAAAUCCCUCGGCUUAACCGGGGAACUGCGUCUGAUACUGGAUGGCUCGAGUUUGGGAGAGGGAUGCGGAAUUCCAGGUGUAGCGGUGAAAUGCGUAGAUAUCUGGAGGAACACCGGUGGCGAAGGCGGCAUCCUGGACCAACACUGACGCUGAUGAGCGAAAGCGUGGGGAGCGAACAGG